CUUGACCGAGCCCAGCCAGAGCGGCCGAUCGGCGGGGCGGUCCUGGCCGUAGGUGGCCAGCAGCGCCUGCGCCUC
RNAcentral lists this antisense RNA (75 nucleotides) under Streptosporangium becharense. RNAcentral's name for it is "ASpks TB sRNA". It matches the Rfam family "ASpks TB sRNA". Lineage: Bacteria; Bacillati; Actinomycetota; Actinomycetes; Streptosporangiales; Streptosporangiaceae. The record is from Rfam by way of RNAcentral.